Molecule: RNA transcript, 1594 nt
Organism: Alosa sapidissima (American shad)
Lineage: Eukaryota; Metazoa; Chordata; Actinopteri; Clupeiformes; Clupeidae
Gene: hdac3
Gene name: histone deacetylase 3
Exons: 2
Source: RefSeq, a predicted model, not a curated record
AGUUUUCUCCCGGUUCACGUCGUUAUCGUGCAGGAAGAGAUUAGAAAUGGCCACAACUCGGUGAAAGAAGAAAAGGCGCCACUCUAAACGAUUUAGCCGUGAACGCGAGGCGAAUUUUAUUUUUUAAGUCUUUGAUAAUCAGGUUGUACAAUGUCCAACAGAACAGCCUACUUUUACGACCCCGACGUCGGCAAUUUCCAUUAUGGCGCGGGACAUCCAAUGAAACCUCAUCGUCUCUCCCUGACGCACAGUCUCGUUUUGCAUUAUGGAUUGUACAAGAAGAUGAUGGUGUUUAAACCAUACAAAGCCUCCCAACAUGACAUGUGUCGUUUCCACUCGGAAGACUACAUCGAUUUCCUGCAAAAGGUUAGUCCGAACAAUAUGCAGGGCUUCACAAAGAGUCUUAACACCUUUAAUGUAGGAGACGACUGUCCCGUUUUCCCCGGUCUGUUCGAGUUCUGCUCGCGGUACACGGGAGCCUCGCUCCAGGGCGCGACGCAGCUCAACCAUAAGAUCUGUGAUAUUGCCAUUAACUGGGCUGGGGGCCUGCAUCACGCCAAGAAGUUCGAGGCUUCGGGGUUCUGUUAUGUCAACGACAUCGUCAUCAGCAUCCUGGAGCUGCUGAAGUACCACCCGAGAGUGUUGUAUAUCGACAUUGACAUUCACCAUGGCGACGGGGUGCAGGAGGCUUUCUAUCUCACAGACCGAGUUAUGACGGUGUCCUUCCACAAGUACGGCAAUUACUUCUUUCCCGGGACGGGUGACAUGUACGAGGUGGGUGCCGAAAGCGGCCGCUACUACUGCCUGAACGUGCCGCUGCGCGAUGGCAUUGACGACCAAAGCUACCGGCAGCUCUUCCAGCCGGUCAUCAAGCAGGUGGUGGACUUCUACCAGCCCACCUGCAUCGUGCUACAGUGUGGGGCUGACUCGCUGGGCUGUGACCGCCUGGGCUGCUUCAACCUCAGCAUCCGCGGCCACGGCGAGUGCGUGGAGUUCGUCAAGAGCUUCAAGAUUCCGGUGCUGGUGCUGGGUGGCGGUGGGUACACGGUGCGGAACGUGGCGCGCUGCUGGACCUACGAGACGUCCCUCCUGGUGGACGAGCCAAUCAGCGACGAGCUGCCCUACAGCGAGUACUUCGAGUACUUUGCGCCGGACUUUACGCUGCACCCAGACGUCAGCACGCGCAUCGAGAACCAGAACUCGCGCCAGUACCUGGAGCAGAUCCGGCAGACGGUGUUCGAGAACCUGAAGAUGCUGAACCACGCCCCCAGCGUCCAGAUCCACGACGUGCCCGCCGACCUCCUGAGCUACGAGCGCACGGACGAGCCGGACCAGGACGAGCGCGCGUCCGAGGACAACUACUCUCGUCCCGAGGCCAGCAGUGAGUUUUACGACGGGGACCAUGACAAUGACAAGGAGAGUGAUGUGGAGAUUUAACCCCCCCCCCCCCCCCCCCAGGACUCAGUAACGAGUCCUCAGUAAGGCCGUGUGAGGGUCAUCAGGAGAGGUCAUCAGAGGUCAUCAGAGGUCAUUAGUAUUCCAGUAUAAUUCGGGGUUUUGUUGUGAUGUUGGCUCCUUGGGACUAGGCCGGUAU